Empidonax traillii (willow flycatcher) is the source of this 380-nucleotide long non-coding RNA. RefSeq lists it as uncharacterized. The transcript is spliced from 3 exons. Lineage: Eukaryota; Metazoa; Chordata; Aves; Passeriformes; Tyrannidae. The record is from RefSeq and is a predicted model, not a curated record.
UUUUAAAGGCACUUUGCAUGUAAGUACUCAUGAAACAACACUGUUAUUCUCACACAGCAGGCGUAAGCAGAAGAAACAGAGACAUAACAACUUAGCAAUGCAAAAUGAGCUCCAGGCGUCUGGUAGGCCAAAAAGAAGCUAUCAAAUUAUCUUCACCUUCAGCCCCUGCAGACUGGGACCAAGAGUGGUGGAAGAUCUGUUGACAAACUCCCUCACACAACCAGUGCUGCAAAAAGCUGUCAAUGAGGACAAUUUUCUUCAUGGGUCUGGACCCAGUUUAAAUUUCCUGGAAGUCACAGUGCCGAAGGAGAAAUGUUCCUCCCUUAUCAUGGACUGUGAAGUAAGCAUGGUUUAUUGGGAGCUGUGGAGACCAAGCUAGU